CCAAACUUGGUCAUUUAGAGGAAGUAAAAGUCGUAACAAGGUCUCCGUAGGUGAACCUGCGGAGGGAUCAUUACCAGAGAUGGCGGGCCCCGGGCCCCCGUCCCCAACCCUUUUGUUGACCAACACCAUUUUGCCUCGGGGGUGGAGCGUCUCCGGAUCGCCGCCCCCGGAGGACCACCGAACGCUGUCUCUGUACGUCGGAGUUUUGAUUGAAUAUAUGAAAACUUUCAACAACGGAUCUCUUGGUUCUGGCAUCGAUGAAGAACGCAGC
RNAcentral lists this unclassified non-coding RNA (271 nucleotides) under uncultured fungus. RNAcentral describes it as "partial contains small subunit ribosomal RNA, internal transcribed spacer 1, and 5.8S ribosomal RNA". The stretch from base 1 to 73 matches the Rfam family "Eukaryotic small subunit ribosomal RNA", at positions 1759 to 1831 of the family's 1831-position model. Lineage: Eukaryota; Fungi. The record is from RNAcentral.